UACGAAGGGUGCAAACGUUGCUCGGAAUUAUUGGGCGUAAAGAGCUCGUAGGCGGCCUGUCGCGUCUGCUGUGAAAUCCCGGGGCUUAACCCUGGGCGUGCAGUGGAUACGGGCUGGCUGGAGGCAGGCAGGGGAGAACGGAAUUCCCGGUGUAGCGGUGAAAUGCGCAGAUAUCGAGAGGAACACCGGUGGCGAAGGCGGUUCUCUGGGCCUGUACUGACGCUGAGGAGCGAAAGCGUGGGGAGCGAACAGG
Molecule: ribosomal RNA, 253 nt
Filed under: uncultured bacterium
Lineage: Bacteria
Description: partial 16S ribosomal RNA
Rfam family: Bacterial small subunit ribosomal RNA
Source: RNAcentral